GGGUCAGUAGGUUGGUCGUGCCACCGGUACGUACUGGUCUCACUGAUCCCUCCUUCCUGAAGAACCGUAAUGCCAUUAAUUUGGUGUUGCGGGGAAACAGGACUGUUACUUUGAAAAAAUUAGAGUGUUUAAAGCAAGCUAACGCUUGAAUACAUUAGCAUGGAAUAAUGAAAUAGGACGAUCGAUCCUAUUUUGUUGGUCUCUAGGAUUGACGUA
RNAcentral lists this ribosomal RNA (216 nucleotides) under Glomeromycotina sp. RNAcentral's name for it is "partial small subunit ribosomal RNA". The stretch from base 75 to 216 matches the Rfam family "Eukaryotic small subunit ribosomal RNA", at positions 721 to 864 of the family's 1831-position model. Lineage: Eukaryota; Fungi; Glomeromycota. The record is from RNAcentral.